Molecule: long non-coding RNA, 532 nt
Filed under: Equus caballus (horse)
Lineage: Eukaryota; Metazoa; Chordata; Mammalia; Perissodactyla; Equidae
Description: lncRNA (ENSECAG00000028173.3)
Source: RNAcentral
GGGGAGAAUAAUACUAGAGUUAGUAGGAGCAAGAUCAGGAGGAGGAGUCCUAGGAUGUCUUUAAUUGUAUAAUAUGGGUGGAAUGGGAUUUUGUCCAUAUCGGAUGGGAUUCCUGAGGGGUUGUUAGAUCCUGUUUCGUGAAGAAAUAGUAAAUGUACGACUACCAGGGCUGUGAUGAUGAAGGGUAGGAUGAAGUGGAAAGCAAAAAAUCGGGUAAGGGUGGCUUUGUCUACUGAGAAUCCACCUCAGAUUCACUCGACGAGGGUAGUACCGAUGUAGGGAAUUGCUGAUAGGAGGUUCGUGAUGACUGUUGCUCCUCAAAAGGAUAUUUGGCCUCAUGGCAGAUAAAAAAUAUUGAUGCUCCGUUGGCAUGGAGGUAGCGAAUAAUUCAUCCGUAGUUAACGUCUCGGCAGAUGUGAGUGACGGAUGAGAAGGCAGUUGUCGUGUCUGAUGUGUAGUGUAUGGCUAGGAAUAGGCCUGUUAAGAUUUGGAGGAUUAGGCAGAUUCCUAGGAGGGAGCCGAAGUUUCAUCA